This 253-nucleotide ribosomal RNA is filed under the name uncultured bacterium. RNAcentral describes it as "partial 16S ribosomal RNA". It matches the Rfam family "Bacterial small subunit ribosomal RNA", at positions 524 to 776 of the family's 1533-position model. The record is from RNAcentral.
UACGGAGGGGGCUAGCGUUGUUCGGAAUUACUGGGCGUAAAGCGCGCGUAGGCGGCUUUGUAAGUUAGAGGUGAAAGCCCGGAGCUCAACUCCGGAACUGCCUUUAAAACUGCAUCGCUUGAAUCCAGGAGAGGUGAGUGGAAUUCCGAGUGUAGAGGUGAAAUUCGUAGAUAUUCGGAAGAACACCAGUGGCGAAGGCGGCUCACUGGACUGGUAUUGACGCUGAGGUGCGAAAGCGUGGGGAGCAAACAGG